AUUAAACAUACAGUUAAAGACUGAGGAAAACCCUCUUUGUUCUGUAUCUAUUGAAUAUCUUGAGUUUUGAAGGUGGUUUUUUGAAUUCCAUAAGUAAAGGUGAAAUUUGUUGAUAUUUGGAAGACAUCCAGAAGCGAAAGCAUGAACCAACUCAAAUCUGACGCUAGGUACUAAAGUAUGGGGAUAAAGAGGAUUAGAGACCCUCGUAGUCCAUACCUUAAACAAUGAGUGUUAAACAUUUUUAGUAGUAAUCAAGUACAUUUAUUUUAAAGGUUUAAUUUUAACAGAAUUAUCUCAUCAACUUAAAUUAAUUUUUAAAUAAUAUGUUUAGUAAUAUUGUUGCUACUAUUUGUGAUUUUAAGCUAACGCGUGAAACACCGCCUGGGGAAUGUGGCCGCAAGGUUAAACUCAAAGGAAUUGACGGAGACUUAUACAAGG
This 438-nucleotide ribosomal RNA is filed under the name Physarum album. RNAcentral describes it as "partial small subunit ribosomal RNA". It matches the Rfam family "Bacterial small subunit ribosomal RNA", at positions 582 to 930 of the family's 1533-position model. Lineage: Eukaryota; Evosea; Eumycetozoa; Physariida; Physaraceae. The record is from RNAcentral.